RNAcentral lists this ribosomal RNA (433 nucleotides) under uncultured bacterium. RNAcentral describes it as "partial 16S ribosomal RNA". It matches the Rfam family "Bacterial small subunit ribosomal RNA", at positions 29 to 507 of the family's 1533-position model. The record is from RNAcentral.
AACGAACGCUGGCGGCAUGCCUAACACAUGCCAGUCGAACGAGACCUUCGGGUCUAGUGGCGCACGGGUUCGUAACGCGUGGGAACCUGCCCUUAGGUUCGGAAUAACUCCCCGAAAGGGGUGCUAAUACCGGAUAAUGUCUUCGGACCAAAGAUUUAUCGCCUUUGGAUGGGCCCGCGUUGGAUUAGCUAGUUGGUAGGGUAAAAGCCUACCAAGGCGACGAUCCAUAGCUGGUCUGAGAGGAUGAUCAGCCACACUGGGACUGAGACACGGCCCAGACUACGACGGGAGGCAGCAGUGGGGAAUAUUGGAAAAUGGGCGAAAGCCAGAUCAAGCAAGGCCGCGUGAGUGAUGAAGGCCUUAGGGUUGUAAAGCUCUUUUAACCGGGAUGAUAAUGACAGUACCGGGAGAAUAAGCACCGGCUAACUCCGUG